This 262-nucleotide unclassified non-coding RNA is filed under the name plant metagenome. Its description in RNAcentral is "partial contains small subunit ribosomal RNA, internal transcribed spacer 1, and 5.8S ribosomal RNA". The record is from RNAcentral.
UCUCCGUUGGUGAACCAGCGGAGGGAUCAUUACCGAGUUUACAACUCCCAAACCCCUAUGUGAGCGUUACCAAACUGUUGCCUCGGCGGGAAAUUCAUGCCCCGGGCGCGUCGCAGCCCCGGACCAAGGCGCCCGCCGGAGGACCAACCAAAACUCUUUUGUAUGUCCCUCGCGGACUUUUAUAAUUCUGAACCAUCUCGGCGCCCCUAGCGGGCGUUUCGAAAAUGAAUCAAAACUUUCAACAACGGAUCUCUUGGUUCUG